RNAcentral lists this unclassified non-coding RNA (343 nucleotides) under soil metagenome. Its description in RNAcentral is "partial contains 5.8S ribosomal RNA, internal transcribed spacer 2, and large subunit ribosomal RNA". The stretch from base 1 to 120 matches the Rfam family "5.8S ribosomal RNA", at positions 35 to 154 of the family's 154-position model. The record is from RNAcentral.
GAUGAAGAACGCAGCGAAAUGCGAUAAGUAGUGUGAAUUGCAGAAUCCAGUGAAUCAUCGAAUCUUUGAACGCACAUUGCGCCCGCCAGCAUUCUGGCGGGCAUGCCUGUUCGAGCGUCAUUUCAACCCUCGACCUCCCCUUGGGGAGGUCGGCGUUGGGGACCGGCAGCACACCGCCGGCCCUGAAAUGGAGUGGCGGCCCGUCUGCGGCGACCUCUGCGUAGUAAUACAGCUCGCACCGGAACCCCGACGCGGCCACGCCGUAAAACACCCAACUUCUGAACGUUGACCUCGAAUCAGGUAGGACUACCCGCUGAACUUAAGCAUAUCAAUAAGCGGAGGA